This 508-nucleotide long non-coding RNA is filed under the name Capra hircus (goat). RNAcentral describes it as "lncRNA (ENSCHIG00000007900.1)". Lineage: Eukaryota; Metazoa; Chordata; Mammalia; Artiodactyla; Bovidae. The record is from RNAcentral.
GGUGAUCUGCUCUCAUGCCUCGGGAGUGUAUUGCUUGCUGCAUGCCCAAUAAAUCUUGCCUGCUUGAGCUAUAACUGGUCUUUCAUUUCAGUUCUUUGCUACCAUGAGACAACAACCAAGGGAGAAGAACCGACCUGACCACUCUAAGGAGUUGUCAUUUCAUCCUGAGACCAUAGGAAGCAUAUGAAGAACUUUUUACACAGGAUGAAUGAUCAGACCUGCAUUUUAGAAAGCUCCUUCUUGUUGCUGUUUGGCGAGUGCAUUAGUCUGAAGAGAUGGACAUGGAUAUAAGAAGUCCUGUUACACUAAGUCAUUAUACCAGUGAAGGAAAGAAACCAGUGAAGAGAUUGAGGCCUCAUAUCUGGUUCAUUUGGAGCAGACCCUCAGUAUUGUGGGAUCUUAGAGCAUAAAGGCAAAGAAAAUCAUGAAAAAGUAAGUUCUAGAAAUACUUAGAAAUCACAAGGAGGCCUACUGGGCUGUCACAAACCAUGGAAAUGGGGUGUAGAAU